CCAGACUCCUACGGGAGGCAGCAGUGGGGGAUAUUGCACAAUGGGGGAAACCCUGAUGCAGCGACGCCGCGUGAGUGAAGAAGUAUUUCGGUAUGUAAAGCUCUAUCAGCAGGGAAGAAAAAAGACGGUACCUGACUAAGAAGCCCCGGCUAACUACGUGCCAGCAGCCGCGGUAAUACGUAGGGGGCAAGCGUUAUCCGGAUUUACUGGGUGUAAAGGGAGCGUAGACGGCAAUACAAGUCGGAAGUGAAAUACCCGGGCUCAACCUGGGAACUGCUUUGGAAACUGUAUGGCUGGAGUGCUGGAGAGGUAAGCGGAAUUCCUAGUGUAGCGGUGAAAUGCGUAGAUAUUAGGAGGAACACCAGUGGCGAAGGCGGCUUGCUGGACAGAGACUGACGUUGAGGCUCGAAAGCGUGGGGAGCAAACAGGAUUAGAUACCCUUGUA
This 445-nucleotide ribosomal RNA is filed under the name uncultured bacterium. Its description in RNAcentral is "partial 16S ribosomal RNA". It matches the Rfam family "Bacterial small subunit ribosomal RNA", at positions 331 to 792 of the family's 1533-position model. The record is from RNAcentral.